UACAGAGGGUGCGAGCGUUGUUCGGAAUUAUUGGGCGUAAAGGGCGCGUAGGCGGUGCCACAAGUCACCUGUGAAAUCUCCGGGCUUAACUCGGAGCCUGCAGGCGAAACUGUGGUGCUGGAGUGUGGGAGAGGUGCGUGGAAUUUCCGGUGUAGCGGCGAAAUGCGUAGAUAUCGGAAGGAACACCUGUGGCGAAAGCGGCUCACUGGACCAUUACUGACGCUGAGGCACGAAAGCUAGGGGAGCAAACAGG
RNAcentral lists this ribosomal RNA (253 nucleotides) under uncultured bacterium. RNAcentral's name for it is "partial 16S ribosomal RNA". It matches the Rfam family "Bacterial small subunit ribosomal RNA", at positions 524 to 776 of the family's 1533-position model. The record is from RNAcentral.